This 433-nucleotide ribosomal RNA is filed under the name uncultured bacterium 'eubacterium sp.'. RNAcentral describes it as "bacterial SSU rRNA". It matches the Rfam family "Bacterial small subunit ribosomal RNA", at positions 29 to 507 of the family's 1533-position model. RNAcentral also lists the same sequence under 1 other name. The record is from RNAcentral.
AACGAACGCUGGCGGCAGGCUUAACACAUGCAAGUCGAGCGCCCCGGUAACGGGGAGCGGCAGACGGGUGAGUAACGCGUGGGAAUCUACCCAACCCUACGGAAUAACGCAUGGAAACGUGUGCUAAUACCGUAUACGCCCUUUUGGGGAAAGAUUUAUCGGGGAUGGAUGAGCCCGCGUUGGAUUAGCUAGUUGGUGGGGUAAAGGCCUACCAAGGCGACGAUCCAUAGCUGGUCUGAGAGGAUGAUCAGCCACAUUGGGACUGAGACACGGCCCAAACUCCUACGGGAGGCAGCAGUGGGGAAUAUUGGACAAUGGGCGCAAGCCUGAUCCAGCCAUGCCGCGUGAGUGAUGAAGGCCUUAGGGUUGUAAAGCUCUUUCACCGAUGAAGAUAAUGACGGUAGUCGGAGAAGAAGCCCCGGCUAACUUCGUG